UACGGGAGGCAGCAGUGGGGAAUAUUGCACAAUGGGCGAAAGCCUGAUGCAGCUAUGCCGCGUGUAUGAAGAAGGCCUUAGGGUUGUAAAGUACUUUCAUCGGGGAGGAAAAACAAAACUAAUAAUUUUAUUUCUUGACGUUACCCGAAAAAGAAGCACCGGCUAACUCCGUGCCAGCAGCCGCGGUAAUACGGAGGGUGCUAGCGUUAAUCAGAAUUACUGGGCGUAAAGAGCACGUAGGUGGUUUUUUUAAGUCAGAUGUGAAAUCCCCUGGGCUUAACCUGGAACUGCAUUUUUGAAACUGAAAUACUAGAGUAUCGUAGAGGGAGGUAGAAUUCUAGGUGUAGCGGUGAAAUGCGUAGAUAUCUGGAGGAAUACCUGUGGCGAAAGCGGCCUCCUAAACGAAUACUGACACUGAGGUGCGAAAGCGUGGGGAGCAAACAGGGAUUAGAUACC
This 456-nucleotide ribosomal RNA is filed under the name uncultured bacterium. RNAcentral describes it as "bacterial SSU rRNA". It matches the Rfam family "Bacterial small subunit ribosomal RNA", at positions 340 to 786 of the family's 1533-position model. The record is from RNAcentral.